Molecule: ribosomal RNA, 466 nt
Filed under: uncultured bacterium
Lineage: Bacteria
Description: partial 16S ribosomal RNA
Rfam family: Bacterial small subunit ribosomal RNA
Source: RNAcentral
GAUGAACGCUGGCGGCGUGCUUAACACAUGCAAGUCGAACGAUGAAGCCCAGCUUGCUGGGUGGAUUAGUGGCGAACGGGUGAGUAACACGUGAGUAACCUGCCCUUAACUCUGGGAUAAGCCUGGGAAACUGGGUCUAAUACCGGAUAGGAGCGUCCACCGCAUGGUGGGUGUUGGAAAGAUUUAUCGGUUUUGGAUGGACUCACGGCCUAUCAGCUUGUUGGUGAGGUAAUGGCUCACCAAGGCGACGACGGGUAGCCGGCCUGAGAGGGUGACCGGCCACACUGGGACUGAGACACGGCCCAGACUCCUACGGGAGGCAGCAGUGGGGAAUAUUGCACAAUGGGCGCAAGCCUGAUGCAGCGACGCCGCGUGAGGGAUGACGGCCUUCGGGUUGUAAACCUCUUUCAGUAGGGAAGAAGCGAAAGUGACGGUACCUGCAGAAGAAGCACCGGCUAACUACGUG